CUUUUUUUUUUUUCUUUUUUUUUUUUUUUUUUCUUUUUUUGGCCUUCUAGAAUUGCUGCCUGCCUGUCUCUCCCAUGAUCUGGGCUCUAGGGGGGCCGACCCCUAAGGGCUGUAUAAUCUAGGUGCCCUUGUCCUCAGCUAUGUAUAGAAUUUGGCCAAUGUGAGCAAGAAAUUCAUGGGUAAGAGGAGAGGAAGGUCAGGAUAUUUCCUCCCCAUCGGAUGCUACACUUCAGUCCCCUUGUAACCACAGCUCCUAUCAUAAAGCCACUAGUUCACGAAACCAGCUCUGCCUUGACAUACUAACAGCAGGUCUAGAGGAGACAAACAGCUUCCUAUCAGAUUCCUCAUCACCCCUCGUUCGUUUUCCUAACACUGACCACAUUUACAUAAAUCUCCCUUCAUUCAGGACUCCUCCAAAUCCCACCUGAUACGUCCCAUCCUGCCCUCUACCGCUGUAAUUUAUUUCUGUCAUUAUCAAAUAGCGUUACUAAUAAAGUUACACAAGAUGUUCUUGUGUGUCCUUCCAAAAAAUAAGUAAGCAGGCAUAGAUCCUGACCCAGAGGAUUUGAGUCUAAUAUGGCCAGAAUUGAGCAAACACCACAGGGGAAGCUAGCUAAAUUCCCACAUCUGCAAAUUCCUACAAAGAGUGUCCGAAAAUAGAUAGUCAAGUAAUCUCUCUUGCAAAGUAAGAAUGCAACCCUGGGUAGUCUUGUCCUGUCUUGCAGACAAAUGUAACCAAAACAGGUUGAUAAAGGGAUGGGAGGGUGAGGGGGGGUGGGUGGGUAGAGUGACUUGCCCAAAGGCACACAGUUAAUUAGUGGAACAGUGAGUCAAAAUCCAGGUCUCAUGACUCACGGUCCAUUGCUCUAUUUUCUUCACUAUUUUUCCUCUUUGAUAAAGACAACUGUGUGUGCCUACCCAUCACUUGUAAAUAAAGUCGGGGUAAUAAAUCAUGGUUUCCUCAAUCAUAACAUUGAAGGGAUGAUGAUUCAGUUGAAUAAUGAAAAAAUACUGGUUUUACUGCAACAAUGGCUGUGGUUCUGAUGCAGGACUCAGCACAGGCUAUUAGAAUGGUUACUCAUGCCAUCUCUACAGCCCUCUAGAAGUUUCUCUGGGGUGUAGAGGCAGUAUAACUAGCAUGUAAGUCUAUAGGCACUAAGUUGGGCAGACUGAACUUUGUUUUCCUUCUCUGCCUCUUGCCAGCCUAUUUCCUAAUAUAUAAAAUGAGGAUCAUCAAAGCACCUCCACCAUGGACAUGUUGCAAGGUUUAAACGACUUAAUGCAUGAUGUGCCUAGCAUUUAUUCUGAACCUUAGUGAGAAAUCAAUAAAUAUUCGUCAUCAUCGUUUUGUUAUGACAAUGUCUCCAUAGAACAUCUUUAACAGCAGAACUUGUAAAUGGUUUCUCCUUAAAAAUCAAACCCAGCCCAUUCUUGUAUGUACCUCCAUUUAAUUUUGCUUCCACAAGGUUCUAUAGAAUCGAAUCAUCGGAGCACCUGGGUGGCUCAGCGGCUGAGCAUCUGCCUUUGGCCCAGGUCAUGAUCCCGGCUCCUGGGAUCAAGUCCUGCAUCAGGCUCCUCACAGAGAGCCUGCUUCUCCCUCUGCCUGUGUCUCUGCCUCUCUCUCUGUGUCUCUCAUGAGUAAAUAAAUAAAUAAAUCUUAAAAAAAAAAAAAGAAUCCAAGUAUUAUUGUUCCACUGGAAUACUUGGAACCCUUCUUAUGCCCCGGCACCUAUGACUAUGCACACCCUAGGAAUAUAAUGCUCUUUUAAUUAAACAUUGUAAAAUCUGUACAAAUCUUGAA
This 1801-nucleotide long non-coding RNA is filed under the name Canis lupus familiaris (dog). RNAcentral describes it as "lncRNA (ENSCAFG00000050516.1)". The record is from RNAcentral. Lineage: Eukaryota; Metazoa; Chordata; Mammalia; Carnivora; Canidae.